AGAGGAAGUCCGGUGCGAAUCCGGCGCGGUCCCGCCACUGUCACCGGGUGCGCACGCCGCGCGUGCGUCCCGGGAGCCAGGAACUC
This 86-nucleotide non-coding RNA is filed under the name Streptomyces sp. Lineage: Bacteria; Bacillati; Actinomycetota; Actinomycetes; Kitasatosporales; Streptomycetaceae. The record is from RNAcentral.